GGCCCCCUGGACAAGACUGACGCUCAGGUGCGAAAGCGUGGGGAGCAAACAGGAUUAGAUACCUGGUAGUCACGCUGUAAACGAUGUCGAUUUGGAGGUUGUUCCCUUGAGGAGUGGCUUCCGGAGCUAACGCGUUAAAUCGACCGCCUGGGGAGUACGGCCGCAAGGUUAAAACUCAAAUGAAUUGACGGGGGCCCGCACAAGCGGUGGAGCAUGUGGUUUAAUUCGAUGCAACGCGAAGAACCUUACCUACUCUUGACAUCCAGAGAAUUUAGCAGAGAUGCUUUAGUGCCUUCGGGAACUCUGAGACAGGUGCUGCAUGGCUGUCGUCAGCUCGUGUUGUGAAAUGUUGGGUUAAGUCCCGCAACGAGCGCAACCCUUAUCCUUUGUUGCCAGCACAUUAUGGUGGGAACUCAAAGGAGACUGCCGGUGAUAAACCGGAGGAAGGUGGGGAUGACGUCAAGUCAUCAUGGCCCUUACGAGUAGGGCUACACACGUGCUACAAUGGCGUAUACAAAGAGAAGCGACCUCGCGAGAGCAAGCGGAACUCAUAAAGUACGUCGUAGUCCGGAUUGGAGUCUGCAACUCGACUCCAUGAAGUCGGAAUCGCUAGUAAUCGUAGAUCAGAAUGCUACGGUGAAUACGUUCCCGGGCCUUGUACACACCGCCCGUCACACCAUGGGAGUGGGUUGCAAAAGAAGUAGGUAGCUUAACCUUCGGGAGGGCGCUUACCACUUUGUGAUUCAUGACUGGGGUGAAGUCGUAACAAGGUAACCA
Molecule: ribosomal RNA, 777 nt
Filed under: uncultured Providencia sp.
Lineage: Bacteria; Pseudomonadati; Pseudomonadota; Gammaproteobacteria; Enterobacterales; Morganellaceae
Description: bacterial SSU rRNA
Rfam family: Bacterial small subunit ribosomal RNA
Source: RNAcentral